GUGGGGAAUAUUCCGCAAUGGACGAAAGUCUGACGGAGCAACGCCGCGUGAGUGAUGAAGGUUUUCGGACUGUAAAGCUCUGUUGUUUAGGACGAAAGUGCCUGUUGCAAAUAGUUACAGGUAUUGACGGUACUGAACGAGGAAGCCACGGCUAACUACGUGCCAGCAGCCGCGGUAAUACGUAGGUGGCAAGCGUUGUCCGGAAUUAUUGGGCGUAAAGAGCAUGUAGGCGGGAAUCUAAGUCUGUUGUGAAAAUGCGGGGCUCAACCCCGUAUUGCGAUGGAAACUGAAUUUCUUGAGUGCAGGAGAGGAAAGGGGAAUUCCCAGUGUAGCGGUGAAAUGCGUAGAUAUUGGGAGGAACACCAGUGGCGAAGGCGCCUUUCUGGACUGUGUCUGACGCUGAGGCGCGAAAGCUAGGGGAGCGAACGGGAUUAGAUACCCGGGUAGUCC
This 450-nucleotide ribosomal RNA is filed under the name uncultured bacterium. RNAcentral describes it as "partial 16S ribosomal RNA". It matches the Rfam family "Bacterial small subunit ribosomal RNA", at positions 354 to 796 of the family's 1533-position model. The record is from RNAcentral.